This 492-nucleotide ribosomal RNA is filed under the name uncultured bacterium. RNAcentral's name for it is "partial 16S ribosomal RNA". It matches the Rfam family "Bacterial small subunit ribosomal RNA", at positions 29 to 507 of the family's 1533-position model. The record is from RNAcentral.
AGUGAACGCUGGCGGUAGGCCUAGCACAUGCAAGUCGAACGGCAGCACAGUAAGAGCUUGCUCUUACGGGUGGCGAGUGGCGGACGGGUGAGGAAUACAUCGGAAUCUACUUUUUCGUGGGGGAUAACGUAGGGAAACUUACGCUAAUACCGCAUACGACCUACGGGUGAAAGCAGGGGAUCUUCGGACCUUGCGCGAUUGAAUGAGCCGAUGUCGGAUUAGCUAGUUGGCGGGGUAAAGGCCCACCAAGGCGACGAUCCGUAGCUGGUCUGAGAGGAUGAUCAGCCACACUGGAACUGAGACACGGUCCAGACUCCUACGGGAGGCAGCAGUGGGGAAUAUUGGACGAUGGGCGCAAGCCUGAUCCAGCCAUACCGCGUGGGUGAAGAAGGCCUUCGGGUUGUAAAGCCCUUUUGUUGGGAAAGAAAAGCAGCAGGUUAAUACCCCGCUGUUCUGACGGUACCCAAAGAAUAAGCACCGGCUAACUUCGUG